Molecule: ribosomal RNA, 439 nt
Filed under: uncultured bacterium
Lineage: Bacteria
Description: partial 16S ribosomal RNA
Rfam family: Bacterial small subunit ribosomal RNA
Source: RNAcentral
CUACGGGCCGCACCAGUGGGGAAUAUUGCACAAUGGGCGAAAGCCUGAUGCAGCAACGCCGCGUGGAGGAUGACACAUUUCGGUGCGUAAACUCCUUUUAUAUAAGAAGAUAAUGACGGUAUUAUAUGAAUAAGCACCGGCUAACUCCGUGCCAGCAGCCGCGGUAAUACGGGGGGUGCAAGCGUUACUCGGAAUCACUGGGCGUAAAGAGCAUGUGGGCUGGAUGACAAGUUGGAAGUGAAAUCCUAUGGCUUAACCAUAGAACUGCUUCCAAAACUGUCUUCCUAGAGUAUGGGAGAGGUAGAUGGAAUUUCUGGUGUAGGGGUAAAAUCCGUAGAGAUCAGAAGGAAUACCGAUUGCGAAGGCGAUCUACUGGAACAUUACUGACGCUCAGAUGCGAAAGCGUGGGGAGCAAACAGGAUUAGAUACCCCAGUAGUC